Molecule: ribosomal RNA, 476 nt
Filed under: uncultured bacterium
Lineage: Bacteria
Description: bacterial SSU rRNA
Rfam family: Bacterial small subunit ribosomal RNA
Source: RNAcentral
GGGGGCCCGCAAGCGGUGGAGCAUGUGGUUCAAUUCGACGCAACGCGAAGAACCUUACCUGGGCUCGAAAUGUAGUGGAAUGGGGUGGAAACAUCCCCGUCUCGCAAGAGACUGCUAUAUAGGUGCUGCAUGGCUGUCGUCAGCUCGUGUCGUGAGAUGUUGGGUUAAGUCCCGCAACGAGCGCAACCCUUAUCCCUAGUUGCCAUCGGGUCAAGCCGGGCACUCUAGUGAAACCGCCCAGGAUAACUGGGAGGAAGGUGGGGAUGACGUCAAGUCCUCAUGGCCUUUAUGUCCAGGGCUACACACGUGCUACAAUGGUCGGUACAAACCGUCGCAAACCCGCGAGGGGGAGCUAAUCGGAAAAAGCCGGCCUCAGUUCGGAUUGGAGUCUGCAACCCGACUCCAUGAAGCUGGAAUCGCUAGUAAUCGCGGAUCAGAACGCCGCGGUGAAUACGUUCCCGGGCCUUGUACACACC